AUCCAGAUGACGGGUCCAAAAUAGGACAAAAUGUGCAUCCUGGAU
This is a non-coding RNA of Trichobilharzia regenti, 45 nucleotides long. The record is from Rfam. NCBI's taxonomy places the organism in Eukaryota, Metazoa, Platyhelminthes, Trematoda, Strigeidida, Schistosomatidae.